Molecule: long non-coding RNA, 624 nt
Filed under: Marmota monax (woodchuck)
Lineage: Eukaryota; Metazoa; Chordata; Mammalia; Rodentia; Sciuridae
Source: RNAcentral
CCUCAAUCAUUUCUAGUUAUUGAUAUCAUAUCAGUUAUAGCCAAAAUAUGAAAAGCCAGUAAGAUUAAACAGUAUCUUAAGAGAAACUGAGAUUUAAAAAAAUUAAUUAGGAGGCAGACAACAUAAGUAGCAUAUACUAUUUAAAUCAAUAAAAAUCUGCUUUCAUCAACCCAGAUACAGGUAAAAGUGACAGAGUGGCUAAGAAUCUCUUCAACAAAGCCUCUUCCAGAAGGAGACUGUGGUAUCUAAGAAAAAAAAAAGUCUGGAUCAUCUAUGCACUCAAACAAGAUUCAACUGGAACCGGACUUCCUGUCAAGUUAGCAAAAAUCAUCUAUUGUAAACAGUGUCGACAAAUGUCAGUUCUAAUUCCACCGUAGAGAUUUUCCCCUAGGUCAAUGAAAGGAAAGAGAAUAAACUGGGAGCCAGCUGUGAAUUCCUGAUUGUUUUACUGUUGACUGAUUUAGGUCACUCUAAUGAGGUUUCCUUUCCACCAUUAAAGUUCAUCUUAUGGCAGCUGUCACUCCAAAGUUUCAUGGGGAAAUGUAAAGGAAAAAACAAACAACAAGAAAAAAAUACAAAUACAACCAUAAAAACUUCCAUUAUUAAAAAAAUUAUAACUCGCCA